RNAcentral lists this long non-coding RNA (606 nucleotides) under Physcomitrium patens. Its description in RNAcentral is "long non-coding RNA (PPAT_LNC012634)". Lineage: Eukaryota; Viridiplantae; Streptophyta; Bryopsida; Funariales; Funariaceae. The record is from RNAcentral.
AGUGUUCAGAAUAGCCAAGCAAUUUGCAGAGGGGAGCCUGCAGAGAUCAAGUGAUUUUCCUGUGGGAUUCUGUUUGUAUGGAUUUCUGCUCUUAAACUGGUCUGCAGAGAUGCAAGCAUCAUAAUAAACUGAAAACAAAGAUAUACAGGGGGUGCAGAAUCUAAGACCCUAGAUCUGAAAGUUGUGCCUUCCCAUAUCAGAAAGUAAAGACUACAUCAUCUGGAUCCUGUCUCCCACCUUACUGGGUAGCAUUGGUUGAAUGUGUACCAGGAUAUGAAGAGCAUGUGAUGUUGAUACAGAGCACAUGUUGUCAUGUAACCAAGUCCUGCAUGGAACACUGAUGAAUUUCUUCUUCAUUGCAUCCCCACACAAACCCACAGAAUCCAAUCAUUUUGUUAUAUAAAAAUUUGGGAAAUGAGGUAUUCCAGUACAUGCAAACAUGCAAACAUGUAAAAAUAAAAACAAUAAUAACAAUAAUAACUUAAUGAAUAGAGGAGUAAUACUACUUGAUUGUAAAAUUUUGUACUUUAGAUUAUAUGAGAGCACUGAUUAGACAUUAUUUUAUCCAUUAAAUUCUUGUCUUUGGUUUAUAAAUUUUUUCUCCUU